Molecule: ribosomal RNA, 196 nt
Filed under: uncultured Saccharomycetes
Lineage: Eukaryota; Fungi; Ascomycota; Saccharomycetes
Description: partial 26S ribosomal RNA
Rfam family: Eukaryotic large subunit ribosomal RNA
Source: RNAcentral
AAACCAACAGGGAUUGCCUUAGUAGCGGCGAGUGAAGCGGCAAUAGCUCAAAUUUGAAAUCUGCCAACAGGCCGAGUUGUAAUUUGAAGAAAGCAAUUCUGGAUGUGUCUUUGCUCAAGUUCCUUGGAAUAGGACAUCAUGGAGGGUGAGAAUCCCGUGAUGCGAAGGUAGCACGUCUAUGUAGAAUGUUUUCGAC